RNAcentral lists this ribosomal RNA (253 nucleotides) under uncultured bacterium. Its description in RNAcentral is "partial 16S ribosomal RNA". It matches the Rfam family "Bacterial small subunit ribosomal RNA", at positions 524 to 776 of the family's 1533-position model. The record is from RNAcentral.
UACGGGGGGGGCAAGCGUUGUUCGGAAUUACUGGGCGUAAAGGGCUCGUAGGCGGCCAACUAAGUCAGACGUGAAAUCCCUCGGCUUAACCGGGGAACUGCGUCUGAUACUGGAUGGCUUGAGAUUGGGAGAGGGAUGCGGAAUUCCAGGUGUAGCGGUGAAAUUCGUAGAUAUCGGGAGGAACACCAGCGGCGAAGGCGGCCUUCUGGACGGUGACUGACGCUGAGACGCGAAAGCGUGGGGAGCAAACAGG